CUAUUCUCAACCUUUAAAUAGGUAGGAUGGCGUGGCUGCUUCGUUGAGCCACGCCGCGGAAUCAAGAGCUCCAAGUGGGCCAUUUUUGGUAAGCAGAACUGGCGAUGCAGGAUGAACUGGAGGCCGAGUUAUGGUGCCCAACUGCGUGCUAACCUAGAUUCCACAAAGGGUGUUGGUCGAUUAAGACAGUAGGACGGUGGCCAUGGAAGUCGAAAUCCGCUAAGGAGUGCGUAACAACUCACCUACCGAAUCAACUAGCCUCAAAAAUGGAUGGCGCUAAAGCGCGCGACCUAUACCCGACCAUCGGGGCAAGUGCCAAGCCCUGAUGAGUAGGAGGGCACGACGGUCGCCGUAAAACCUUGGGCGCGAGCUCAGGCCGAGCGACCCUCGGUG
Molecule: ribosomal RNA, 393 nt
Filed under: Olea europaea subsp. europaea
Lineage: Eukaryota; Viridiplantae; Streptophyta; Magnoliopsida; Lamiales; Oleaceae
Description: LSU_rRNA_bacteria
Rfam family: Eukaryotic large subunit ribosomal RNA
Source: RNAcentral